AUGGUCCUACUCCUGUGCAUCGUGGUCCUUCCGGUCGUGCUCCUCCUCGUAAUAUCCUCCAGGCAGCACGGGAAAUGCUACAUCGGUGGCAGUCCGCUCCCUCCCGGGCCACCAUGGCCACGGCUCCCACUUCUCGGGAACCUCCUGUACCGCUGCCCCACAACCGCCUCCCUCUUCGAUGCGCUUCGGCGCCUCCACGCGGACUACGGCCCCGUCGUCACCCUCUGGGCGGGCAGCAAGCCGGCCAUCUUCAUCGCCGGCCGUGAAGCCGCGCACCGCACCCUUGCCCGCAAUGGGGCCACCUUCGCGCACCGUCCGCCAUCGUGGUCCUUCGGGCUUAACGGCCACGGCGUCAACAACGCUCAGUACGGCGGCCGCUGGAGCCUCCUCCGGCGCAACCUCAGCUCGCACCUUGCAGGGGCGCCUCUCGCUGUCGCACUACAAUCUUCCCUCAGCAGACUUGUCUCGAGCCUCGAGCGUGCGGCCGCGGCGGCGGAGAACCACGUCGUUGUGCCAUCCGAAAUACUCCGACACGCCGUGUUCUCCUUCUUCGCCUCGCUUUGCUUCGGCGAGGGGGCGGCGGAGGACGUGCUCAGGCAGCUACCGGGAGUCCACGCCGAGAUCCUGUCCCUCGUCGUUGAGCUCGGCGCGUUCCACCUCAUGCCCGCCCUGCUCGAGAUCGCGUGCUACUUGCCUAGGUGCCGGAAGUUAUCCAACGCCCAGAAGAGGCACCGUGCUACUGUCAUGGCUCUCAUCAGUGCUCGCCAACAGCGAAACAGAGAUGGGGUCGGCCCAGGGCGGCGCCGGUGCUACGUCGACACGCUCCUGGAGCUAAGGCUCCGAGACGAGGAGAUGGUGGGCCUGUGCUGGGAGUUCAUGAAAGCUGCCGCCAAGACCACUUCCACGGCACUCGAGUGGAUCAUGGCGCGUCUUGUGCUCCACCAGGAUGUACAACGAAAGUUACGGGAAGACAUCGCUAGGAGAGGUGAAGGCGAUGAAAACUGUACGACAAAUGGCGAGAGACGGAGCCCGUUCCUGGAGGCCGUGGUGCUCGAAGCGCUGCGUCGCCACCCCCCGGCGCACUACCUGCUGGCGCACACGACGCACAAGGACGUCUACCUCGAUGGCUACGUGAUACCCAAGGGCUCCGUCGUCAACUACGGCGUGGCUGAUAUCGGACGCGACGCGACGUCGUGGACGAACCCCGACGAGUUCUUGCCUGAACGGUUCAUGGAGGGCGGAGAAGGAUACGGCGUUUCUGUUACCGCCGGCAGCGGGAGCGGCGAGGGGUCGAUGAAGAUGAUGCCUUUCGGCAGCGGGCGGAGGGCGUGCCCUGGCGCCGCUGUCGCUCUGACGGUGCUCAAAUCCUUCGUCGAGAAUCUGGUCACGAGGUUCGAGUGGACACCGGUUGGAGCAGUGGACAUGGAAGAGAAACCCGGGCUUGUCACCGAGAUGAGGACGCCGUUACGCACUUGUUUGGUCGUGAGACCGCAUGUACAGCCGACUAUGUAA
RNAcentral lists this ribosomal RNA (1512 nucleotides) under Triticum aestivum (bread wheat). RNAcentral's name for it is "partial small subunit ribosomal RNA". The record is from RNAcentral. Lineage: Eukaryota; Viridiplantae; Streptophyta; Magnoliopsida; Poales; Poaceae.